ACCCCGACCAACCGCCGAUAGCGCGAGUCUCCACUUUGGCACUAGGAGCGGUAUCAAAGAAGUGGGUGCUAUCGGCAGAAGAGACGUCUAGACCAGUGAGCAUAGCUACAUCGGCAAGAGUGGGAGAAACAGGGCCGUGGCCAAAGACAAAAGCAUUAAGAGUAUCUGACCAAAAAUAAGACGCAGCUAUCAACAGCGACUCGUUCUUGUGCAUAUCGGCAAUAGAUAGCCUGAUGCAUUGGGCUAGCUUCCUUUCACCCCACUGGACUUCAUUCGAAUUGCUGACUCUCAAGAACCAGUCUUUCCACCCUACAGUAGGGCUGGGCCAAGAGCGAAAGGUGUCUUUCCACAGAUCUAAAGAAAAAGUUUCGGCUCUAAAGGGAAUCCUGUUGGUUUCUGCAUUGAUAAGGUCAGUUGGAUCUGGAUCCCCUAGUGGGCCGAGACAUUGGAGGUGUGGUUGAUCGGUGGGGAUGACAACUUUGUUAGAUAACUCCUAGUGUUUUAGGGAAUAAAAAAUACAAAGAAAAAGGAAAAGGAAAAUAUUCAGUAAGAUGAAUCGCGGACGAACAGGAAUACGAAAAAAAAUACAGAAGAUGAGAUGGAGAUCUGACCUCAGGAACGACGAAGCCAAUGGCCAUCUUGUCGUGAAGAGGACGUUUGAGGGCACCGGAGUUGAUGAGAGGAGUGCUUGUCGGAGGUCUCGAAGGUUGUGAAUGGCGCCGCCGCUGGAAAAGUAAAAGUAGGGAUGGUGAAAUGAUGUGAUGGAGAAGGAGUACCCG
RNAcentral lists this long non-coding RNA (779 nucleotides) under Sorghum bicolor (sorghum). RNAcentral describes it as "long non-coding RNA (SBIC_LNC013841)". The record is from RNAcentral. Lineage: Eukaryota; Viridiplantae; Streptophyta; Magnoliopsida; Poales; Poaceae.